GUACACGAGUGGCGAACGGGUGAGUAACACGUGGGUAAUCUGCCCUGCACUUCGGGAUAAGCCUGGGAAACCGGGUCUAAUACCGGAUAUGAACUCCUGCCGCAUGGUGGGGGUUGGAAAGUUUUUCGGUGCAGGAUGAGCCCGCGGCCUAUCAGCUUGUUGGUGGGGUAAUGGCCUACCAAGGCGACGACGGGUAGCCGGCCUGAGAGGGUGAUCGGCCACACUGGGACUGAGACACGGCCCAGACUCCUACGGGAGGCAGCAGUGGGGAAUAUUGCACAAUGGGCGAAAGCCUGAUGCAGCGACGCCGCGUGGGGGAUGACGGUCUUCGGAUUGUAAACCCCUUUCAGUAGGGACGAAGCGCAAGUGACGGUACCUGCAGAAGAAGCACCGGCUAACUACGUGCCAGCAGCCGCGGUAAUACGUAGGGUGCGAGCGUUGUCCGGAAUUACUGGGCGUAAAGAGCUCGUAGGCGGUUUGUCACGUCGUCUGUGAAAUCCCUCGGCUUAACCGGGGGCGUGCAGGCGAUACGGGCAGACUUGAGUACUACAGGGGAGACUGGAAUUCCUGGUGUAGCGUAAAA
Molecule: ribosomal RNA, 583 nt
Filed under: Dietzia sp. SCULCB HNA-3
Lineage: Bacteria; Bacillati; Actinomycetota; Actinomycetes; Mycobacteriales; Dietziaceae
Description: bacterial SSU rRNA
Rfam family: Bacterial small subunit ribosomal RNA
Source: RNAcentral